Molecule: ribosomal RNA, 303 nt
Filed under: uncultured Glomus
Lineage: Eukaryota; Fungi; Glomeromycota; Glomeromycetes; Glomerales; Glomeraceae
Description: SSU rRNA
Rfam family: Eukaryotic small subunit ribosomal RNA
Source: RNAcentral
AGCAGCCGCGGUAAUUCCAGCUCCAAUAGCGUAUAUUAAAGUUGUUGCAGUUAAAAAGCUCGUAGUUGAAUUUCGGGAUCAACAUGUCGGUCGUGCCUCCGGUACGUACUGGCAUCGUUGGUUUCUACCUUCUGACAAACCAUGAUGUCAUUAAUUGGUGUCAUGGGGAAUCAGGACUGUUACUUUAGAAAAAUUAGAGUGUUUAAAAGCAGGCACACGCUUGAAUACAUUAGCAUGGAAUAAUGAAAUAGGACGUUUGACCCUAUUUUGUUGGUUUCUAGGAUCGACGUAAUGAUUAAUAGG